UGCCAGCCGCCGCGGUAAUACGGAGGGGGUUAGCGUUGUUCGGAAUUACUGGGCGUAAAGCGCGCGUAGGCGGAUCGACAAGUUGGGGGUGAAAUCCCGGGGCUUAACCCCGGGACUGCCCUCAAAACUGUCGAUCUAGAGACCGGGAGAGGUAAGCGGAAUUCCUAGUGUAGAGGUGAAAUUCGUAGAUAUUCGGAGGAACACCAGUGGCGAAGGCGGCUCACUGGCUCGAUACUGACGCUGAGGUGCGAAAGCGUGGGGAGCAAACAGGAUUAGAUA
This 279-nucleotide ribosomal RNA is filed under the name uncultured bacterium. RNAcentral describes it as "partial 16S ribosomal RNA". It matches the Rfam family "Bacterial small subunit ribosomal RNA", at positions 506 to 784 of the family's 1533-position model. The record is from RNAcentral.